Non-coding RNA from Pelobates cultripes (western spadefoot toad), 229 nucleotides. The record is from the annotation of a GenBank genome assembly. NCBI's taxonomy places the organism in Eukaryota, Metazoa, Chordata, Amphibia, Anura, Pelobatidae.
AUACCAACACACACUCUGCAUUCACUACACACACUCUGUAUUCACUACACGAACACACACUCUGCAGUCACUAUACACACACACUCUGCAUUCAUUAUACACACACAAUAUUCACUAUACACACUCAAAUGUAAUGCGUACAUGGUGAAUGCAGAGUGUGUAUAGUGAAUGCAGUGUGUGUGUAAUGAAUAUAGUGUGUGUGUAGUGAAUGCAGAGUGUGUAUAGUGAA